This is a transfer RNA of Ramazzottius varieornatus, 73 nucleotides long. It matches the Rfam family "tRNA". From Rfam's summary of the family: Transfer RNA (tRNA) molecules are approximately 80 nucleotides in length. Their secondary structure includes four short double-helical elements and three loops (D, anti-codon, and T loops). The record is from Rfam. NCBI's taxonomy places the organism in Eukaryota, Metazoa, Tardigrada, Eutardigrada, Parachela, Ramazzottiidae.
GGGGAUGUAGCUCAGAUGGUAGAGCGCCCGCUUAGCAUGCGGGAGGUAGGGGGAUCGAUACCCUCCAUCUCCA